CUGGGAGGUGAGGUCCUGGGCGGCCGCUGGCCACCAGGCGGAAGUGCGUACCGGAAGUGCCGGCGGCAGUGUGUAAGACGCUCACGGGCGCGCGGACUAUCGGGCGGCUAGGCUCUCUGAGGAGGCUGCCACAGUGGUGAGUGGUGUGUGGAGGAGAGGCGAGGGUGAUUGUGAGGGAUGGAGAGGCGCCCGUGGCCUAAGUGUGCUGAUGGUGGGAGUGAAUGAGUGGACGGGUGGGACCUGUGAGGGGAACGCGACCCCGGGUCGGCGCGGGCAGAGAGGCGCGCGGUGCGUGAGGGCGCGACCUGCCAUGUCCUGCCGGGUGUCACCGCUUAUGCGCCCGUGGGAGGGGAGCAUUCUGUGUUGGAGGCAGAAGGAAUGAGGGUCGUGACCAACUCAUUAUACCACUGGAGGCUCUAUGAGCAAACCGCAAACUGUUCUCAUGAAAGCAGGAUGUUGAAGCAACCGUGACAAGUGGUGCCCGACCAGGGACCUGAACGAGGAAGGUCUGCCAGAGCAGAGAAAGUGAAACUGAUCAGACGAACUACGAACCCCUGGACGGGAGAGUCUGCCGGCGGAGAAUAUAAGGAGAUGGACAAACCGUGUGGGUGCCCUCCAGGUGUGUGUGACCAUGGAACGGGAGACCGGAGGGAUCCAUGGUAUUCAACCGUGGGCCUGUUACCUCCAGUACGAGCCAUGAGCCAGCGGAAUCUGAAUGCAAAGACAGAACAAGGGCCGACCGGAGUCACAAUGACAUCCAACCCCAUAACAUGGGGACAGAUCAAGAAAACGACACAAGAAGCUGAGAAACUACUGGAGCGCCAGGGUCAGGCAAAAACCCCUGACUCCAUGUUCUUGGCCAUGCUAGCUGUAGUGUCCUGUGCGUCUAUAGGAUCGGGUGAACCACCAACCGGCAAUUGAAAGC
RNAcentral lists this long non-coding RNA (925 nucleotides) under Homo sapiens (human). RNAcentral describes it as "HSALNT0399004". Lineage: Eukaryota; Metazoa; Chordata; Mammalia; Primates; Hominidae. The record is from RNAcentral.